This 292-nucleotide ribosomal RNA is filed under the name uncultured bacterium. Its description in RNAcentral is "partial 16S ribosomal RNA". It matches the Rfam family "Bacterial small subunit ribosomal RNA", at positions 505 to 796 of the family's 1533-position model. The record is from RNAcentral.
GUGCCAGCAGCCGCGGUAAUACGAAGGGGGCUAGCGUUGUUCGGAAUCACUGGGCGUAAAGCGUAUGUAGGCGGAUUGUUAAGUCAGGGGUGAAAUCCCGAGGCUCAACCUCGGAACUGCCUUUGAUACUGGCUAUCUUGAGUCCGGGAGAGGUGAGUGGAACUCCUAGUGUAGAGGUGAAAUUCGUAGAUAUUAGGAAGAACACCAGUGGCGAAGGCGGCUCACUGGCCCGGAACUGACGCUGAAAUACGAAAGCGUGGGGAGCAAACAGGAUUAGAUACCCCGGUAGUCC